UCAAAUGAUGUAAUAACAUAUUUGCUACUUCAGAUGGAACUUUGAGUUCCGAAUGAGACAUACCAAU
RNAcentral lists this small nucleolar RNA (67 nucleotides) under Saccharomyces cerevisiae (brewer's yeast). Its description in RNAcentral is "U24 small nucleolar RNA". Lineage: Eukaryota; Fungi; Ascomycota; Saccharomycetes; Saccharomycetales; Saccharomycetaceae. The record is from RNAcentral.